GGGCCCGUAGCCUAGGUGGAUAGGGAUAUCCAUGGUUGCCCCAAACACGGAUCAGGGCAUCAGCCUGCGGAGCUGAGGGUCGCCGGUUCGAAUCCGGCCGGGCCCG
This 106-nucleotide transfer RNA is filed under the name Nitrososphaerota archaeon. RNAcentral describes it as "tRNA-Arg". It matches the Rfam family "tRNA". From Rfam's summary of the family: Transfer RNA (tRNA) molecules are approximately 80 nucleotides in length. Their secondary structure includes four short double-helical elements and three loops (D, anti-codon, and T loops). The record is from RNAcentral. Lineage: Archaea; Thermoproteati; Nitrososphaerota.